GCAGUCGAGCGAAUUUGAGGGAGCUUGCUCCCAAAGAUUAGCGGCGGACGGGUGAGUAACACGUGGGCAACCUGCCUGUAAGACUGGGAUAACUCCGGGAAACCGGGGCUAAUACUGGAUAAUAUCUUUUUAUACAUAUAGGAAGAUUGAAAGAUGGUUCUGCUAUCACUUACAGAUGGGCCCGCGGCGCAUUAGCUAGUUGGUGAGGUAACGGCUCACCAAGGCGACGAUGCGUAGCCGACCUGAGAGGGUGAUCGGCCACACUGGGACUGAGACACGGCCCAGACUCCUACGGGAGGCAGCAGUAGGGAAUCUUCCGCAAUGGACGAAAGUCUGACGGAGCAACGCCGCGUGAGUGAUGAAGGUUUUCGGAUCGUAAAACUCUGUUGUUAGGGAAGAACAAGUAUCGGAGUAACUGCCGGUACCUUGACGGUACCUAACCAGAAAGCCACGGCUAACUACGUGCCAGCAGCCGCGGUAAUACGUAGGUGGCAAGCGUUGUCCGGAAUUAUUGGGCGUAAAGCGCGCGCAGGCGGUUCCUUAAGUCUGAUGUGAAAGCCCACGGCUCAACCGUGGAGGGUCAUUGGAAACUGGGGAACUUGAGUGCAGAAGAGGAAAGUGGAAUUCCAAGUGUAGCGGUGAAAUGCGUAGAGAUUUGGAGGAACACCAGUGGCGAAGGCGACUUUCUGGUCUGUAACUGACGCUGAGGCGCGAAAGCGUGG
This 722-nucleotide ribosomal RNA is filed under the name Cytobacillus kochii. RNAcentral describes it as "bacterial SSU rRNA". It matches the Rfam family "Bacterial small subunit ribosomal RNA", at positions 57 to 764 of the family's 1533-position model. Lineage: Bacteria; Bacillati; Bacillota; Bacilli; Caryophanales; Bacillaceae. The record is from RNAcentral.